RNAcentral lists this ribosomal RNA (1330 nucleotides) under Chryseobacterium sp. ARS009-10. RNAcentral's name for it is "bacterial SSU rRNA". It matches the Rfam family "Bacterial small subunit ribosomal RNA", at positions 66 to 1404 of the family's 1533-position model. The record is from RNAcentral. Lineage: Bacteria; Pseudomonadati; Bacteroidota; Flavobacteriia; Flavobacteriales; Weeksellaceae.
GCGGUAGAGAUUCUUCGGAAUCUUGAGAGCGGCGUACGGGUGCGGAACACGUGUGCAACCUACCUUUAUCAGGGGGAUAGCCUUUCGAAAGGAAGAUUAAUACCCCAUAAUAUAUUGAAUGGCAUCAUUUAAUAUUGAAAACUCCGGUGGAUAGAGAUGGGCACGCGCAAGAUUAGAUAGUUGGUAGGGUAACGGCCUACCAAGUCAGUGAUCUUUAGGGGGCCUGAGAGGGUGAUCCCCCACACUGGUACUGAGACACGGACCAGACUCCUACGGGAGGCAGCAGUGAGGAAUAUUGGACAAUGGGUGAGAGCCUGAUCCAGCCAUCCCGCGUGAAGGACGACGGCCCUAUGGGUUGUAAACUUCUUUUGUAUAGGGAUAAACCUACUCUCGUGAGAGUAGCUGAAGGUACUAUACGAAUAAGCACCGGCUAACUCCGUGCCAGCAGCCGCGGUAAUACGGAGGGUGCAAGCGUUAUCCGGAUUUAUUGGGUUUAAAGGGUCCGUAGGCGGAUCUGUAAGUCAGUGGUGAAAUCUCAUAGCUUAACUAUGAAACUGCCAUUGAUACUGCAGGUCUUGAGUAAAGUAGAAGUGGCUGGAAUAAGUAGUGUAGCGGUGAAAUGCAUAGAUAUUACUUAGAACACCAAUUGCGAAGGCAGGUCACUAUGUUUUAACUGACGCUGAUGGACGAAAGCGUGGGGAGCGAACAGGAUUAGAUACCCUGGUAGUCCACGCCGUAAACGAUGCUAACUCGUUUUUGGGUUUUCGGAUUCAGAGACUAAGCGAAAGUGAUAAGUUAGCCACCUGGGGAGUACGUUCGCAAGAAUGAAACUCAAAGGAAUUGACGGGGGCCCGCACAAGCGGUGGAUUAUGUGGUUUAAUUCGAUGAUACGCGAGGAACCUUACCAAGGCUUAAAUGGGAAUUGACAGGUUUAGAAAUAGACUUUUCUUCGGACAAUUUUCAAGGUGCUGCAUGGUUGUCGUCAGCUCGUGCCGUGAGGUGUUAGGUUAAGUCCUGCAACGAGCGCAACCCCUGUCACUAGUUGCCAUCAUUCAGUUGGGGACUCUAGUGAGACUGCCUACGCAAGUAGAGAGGAAGGUGGGGAUGACGUCAAAUCAUCACGGCCCUUACGCCUUGGGCCACACACGUAAUACAAUGGCCAGUACAGAGGGCAGCUACCAGGCGACUGGAUGCGAAUCUCGAAAGCUGGUCUCAGUUCGGAUUGGAGUCUGCAACUCGACUCUAUGAAGCUGGAAUCGCUAGUAAUCGCAUAUCAGCCAUGAUGCGGUGAAUACGUUCCCGGGCCUUGUACACACCGCCCGUCAAGCCA